Crotalus tigris (Tiger rattlesnake) is the source of this 2326-nucleotide long non-coding RNA. RefSeq lists it as uncharacterized. The record is from RefSeq and is a predicted model, not a curated record. NCBI's taxonomy places the organism in Eukaryota, Metazoa, Chordata, Lepidosauria, Squamata, Viperidae. The transcript has 4 exons.
UCUCCUGCUUGAGCAGGAGGUUGGACUAAAAGACUUCCAAGGUCCCUCCCAAUUCUAUUAUUUUCUAUUCUAUUCUAUAAUAUUUUUAAAGAUCUCAUCACAUAUUGCAAUUUAUUAAUACCAAUGGCAUAAAGCCCGUUUAACUGAAAACAACACUUAAAAAGAGAUGCCUUUAGCAUAGAGAACAUAGUUGUUCACAUAUUUAACAGUUCAACUAUAUUAUGAGGAAAGCAUGUUGGGUAUAUUUGUCUGGGACUUUUGACACAAACAGGCCUCAUCCAAGGAAGGGUACACUCCAGAUUAAUAAUCAAUUGUGCUAGCUGUGCAUUGCAAUGCUGCCCUGUCCCCAUGAGCUGCCUCAAUCAAUGGGGAAAAUCACAACACAGACUACACUGGGAAGGAAAUAAGGCCCUGUUGUUAUAAAGAAAGAUAAGUACAUAGUUAGCCAAUCUUGGCUGAGGUCUACCUCCUCGCACCUAGAAUAAAUUAAGCAGUAUUAAUUAGGACUUGGGUGGGAGACUACUAGGCAAUCGCUGGGACUGUAAAGCAGAUUGGAACAUUUUAAAAAAAUGUUAAACUCAUGAAGAAGUUAAUGACAAACUGCUUCCUUACUGCUGCCUAGAAAAUUACAUAGACAAUUCAUGAAGACAUCAGGAGAUGAAUUCAAUUGGAGACUUCAUCUUUAUCUAAAAAUACUUCAGAUGAUAGUUUUUGGAUAAUGCCUUACCAGUCAAAUAAAAUAAACCCAUGCUUUCUCAGUAUUAAUCCCCAUUUAGUUCAGUGGAAUGUAUUCUCAAAUCAGUAGCUGUAAGACUGCAGCGUUAAUGUUUCAUAAGUACAAUUGAUAUAGUCUUCCACAUACUAACCUUAAUGCUCCCUUACACCAAUCGAAUGCUCCUGAACAUUCUUUUAGACUCUUAUUUUUAUAUAUGCUUUCUUUUUAAUAUAUCUUCUAGUUUUUCAUGAUUUUUUUUAUCUAUUUUCUAUGCUUUUUAAUUGAAUGUAAGACCAUACUCCUUAUGCCAGUAUAUGGUCAGGUGGGAUUAUGCUUCUUGGAUAGAUUGGACAUGAUUGGCCUUGCAUUGGUUCUGUCAUGUUCUUAAAUGCUACAUUUACAUUGAUAGAACUUAUGGACCAAAAGGAAUUUUUAUGGUUGAUUUAGGAAAUAAAAUGAAUUUUCCCCAUACAUUUAUACCAGUUGCCUUUAUAUUUCUCUCCCUCUCUUUGUAGUUGGUGCUCUGCAGAUUGCAAUGGGAAUGAGAACAGUGGCGAUAAAGAACACAUGAUCUGCUCCCUUCCAAACUACUAAGAUGAAAAAGAGAACAACAAAGAAGCAUAUGACUUAAGGAGUCCCCAGAGCCACAUGGAUAUAAGCACUGCUGAAAAGAGAUAUUUAUAUACUGUCCCCACACCUGCGGAGUACAUCCAGACUGGCCAAGCUGAAAGCACAAUGAAAUUUCAGAAUUAGAAUUGAAGAUAAGACAGUUCCACAGGCCCAUUUGAAAAGAAUCCAUAAACUGUGUAGUUGAAUACUAGGCUUAAAGUGGUUUGAAAAUCAAUAUCCCAGACUAUCUCUAUCCAUAGAACAGCCUUCUUGAUGCAUCUUGGAACUGCACAGGGAAUAUGCUAGUAUAGCAGGAGAAGAUUCUGGCCAUUUCCUGAAAGGUGCAUCAGAACAAAACAAAUAAAAAGUCAUAAGGUCCUUUGGAAUAAGUCUAAAAAUGGCACUGUGGGUCAUCAGCAUAGAUGUAUUUCCUGCAGAAUUAUCUCAAUAUUGAAAGAAAUGAUGGCCUUUGCCCCAAACCAGAAACGUGAAAUAGUGCAACAAUCUACCUAAAGUCCCAGCAGACUAGGGGAUUACUGGGAGAUGAAGGCUUUGUCAUUGUGAUAGUUGUUUGGAGGCCAGUUCAGGUCAGAACUGAUCAAGACUGAUAUAAACCCUCAUUACAAACCAGAAGACCCUUGGAGGAAGAGCUGGAGGUGAGCCAGGCUUUCCUUCCCACUUCUGUCUUAAUGCUGUACAGGCUAGAUUUCAGUUAUAGUCCUACUCUGCAAAACAUAAAAAUAGGAAUGUGAGUGUGGCAUAUUGAUAUAGAGAGGCUUCAGUUGCAGUCUAAAUACAGUACAUACAUUACAGAAUGCAACAUUUCUGGAAAUAUUACGUUGGGGCUCAGAGAUGGACUAUCUGAUCAUAAGCAGGAAGUGAUUUGUUUAUUUAUUACUGAAUAUAUACUCUGCCUUUUUAUUCCAACAAUAACAAAUAAAUAAAUGAAAACAAGCAUAUUGCAAUGGUUGUGAUUCAGCCAGCUCAGGAAGGGACAUGGUG